GUGGAUGUAGCUCAAUUGGUUAGAGCAUCGGAUUGUGGUUCCGAGGGUUGUGGGUUCGAAACCCAUCUUCCACC
RNAcentral lists this transfer RNA (74 nucleotides) under Bacteroidetes bacterium CG23_combo_of_CG06-09_8_20_14_all_32_9. RNAcentral describes it as "tRNA-His". It matches the Rfam family "tRNA". From Rfam's summary of the family: Transfer RNA (tRNA) molecules are approximately 80 nucleotides in length. Their secondary structure includes four short double-helical elements and three loops (D, anti-codon, and T loops). The record is from RNAcentral. Lineage: Bacteria; Pseudomonadati; Bacteroidota.